GACGAACGCUGGCGGCGUGCCUAAUACAUGCAAGUCGAGCGGACUGAAUGGGAGCUUGCUCUUGUUCGGUCAGCGGCGGACGGGUGAGUAACACGUGGGCAACCUGCCCGCAAGACCGGGAUAACUCCGGGAAACCGGAGCUAAUACCGGAUAACACCGAAGACCGCAUGGUCUUUGGUUGAAAGGCGGCGCAAGCUGCCACUUGCGGAUGGGCCCGCGGCGCAUUAGCUAGUUGGUGAGGUAACGGUUCACCAAGGCGACGAUGCGUAGCCGGCCUGAGAGGGGGGACCGCCACACUGGGACUGAGACACGGCCCAGACUCCUACGGGAGGCAGCAGUAGGGAAUCUUCCGCAAUGGGCGAAAGCCUGACGGAGCGACGCCGCGUGAGCGAAGAAGGCCUUCGGGUCGUAAAGCUCUGUUGUGAGGGACGAAGGAGCGCCGUUUGAAGAAGGCGGCGCGGUGACGGUACCUCACGAGGAAGCCCCGGCUAACUACGUG
RNAcentral lists this ribosomal RNA (499 nucleotides) under uncultured bacterium. RNAcentral's name for it is "partial 16S ribosomal RNA". It matches the Rfam family "Bacterial small subunit ribosomal RNA", at positions 28 to 507 of the family's 1533-position model. The record is from RNAcentral.